UGAGGAAUAUUGGUCAAUGGGCGAGAGCCUGAACCAGCCACGUCGCGUGCAGGAAGAAUGUCCUAUGGAUUGUAAACUGCUUUUGUAGGGGAAUAAUUGUAUCCACGUGUGGAUAUUUGCAUGUACCUUACGAAUAAGGAUCGGCUAACUCCGUGCCAGCAGCCGCGGUAAUAAUCA
Molecule: ribosomal RNA, 177 nt
Filed under: uncultured bacterium
Lineage: Bacteria
Description: partial 16S ribosomal RNA
Rfam family: Bacterial small subunit ribosomal RNA
Source: RNAcentral